GGAAUUUUGAGAAGUGGGAUCGAGAAUAUUGUUAUGCAGCUUGACGAUGUUUUCGACGAGAUCGUUGAUGGGAGGAAGAUGCUCUUGAAUUUCUGCAGCCAUAGGUAGAUCAAAGUCAGCUUUCAACUCAAAAAAAAAACAAAAAAAGAAAAAAAAAAAAAGGAAAAAUGUAAGUGUAGGGUAAGUAAGUUAGUAGGUGGUUUAUUGUAACUUUUGUAUUUUCUUUUACAUCUAUUUCUCUUUGUGUAUUUCAAGAAUGCAAGAGGAAAAUUUUCUUGAAAAAAAAUGCAGUAAAAAAAAAAGAGAAAAAAGAAACCAAACAUAAAAGUAGAAUUUGCUCUGUUUAUGUUUCUGUUUACCAUGAAAAGGAAGAAGUGAAAAAACAGAAUGGAAGCUUCUUUCCUGAAACAGGGGGGACAAAAAGGUCAAAUCUUGACAAUUCAUAUUUAACUUUCCUAUGUUUUAUUUAUUUAUUUAUUGCAUUGUUUUACUACAAAGUAUCUGUUGUCUGUUACUGCUUACUGCUACUUGAUUAUUUUACUAGUAACUGUUUUUGGUCAUGUAAUAUGAAUUAUUUUUGCACUCUGGGAAGCUUUUUUGUCUGAGUCAGUUUCAUUUUGACAGCAAUUGCAUUUGAUGAUGAAAGUCUCUCUCUCUCUCUCUCUCUCUCUCUCUCUCUCUCUCUCUCUCUCUCUCUCUCUAACACACAGAGAGUGCACACUGCACACAAAGAAGAGACACAAAUCAAUUCCGACAUGACUUUAUUCUGUUAGUGCCCAUCUUAUUCCUACAAACUAUGGUGGGCAACAUAACAUAGUUUCACAGUAAUAUGAUUAAAAAAAAGAAAAAAAAAAUCAUGAGCUGGGAUAUUUUUGAGUAAGAUUUUCUGGCAAAAUAUUGCUGGAAAAAAAAAACCAAUUAGAAGCAUAAACAAAAUUCUUCUUAUGCCCGAAAACCAAAUUCGAAGACAAGAAACUCAAGUUCCAUAAGGAAGAUAGGAUACUAGAAUUAGAGUUUGUUGGAUUUUGGGAUCAAACUGAAUUAAUCAAGAACUCAGCACAUUAACGCGAUCGAUCUCCACUUAAGACGCCCAACACGUUGGGUCCAAACAACACAAAUCCCACUCGGUGACUUGAGAACCUUUUAUGAUCAUUUGAUCUUGACCGUUAACACUCACCUCUUUCAUUUGGACCACUCGUUCGAGGUAUUUCAACUCCGCCUCCUUCCCAACCCUAAAACUUUGAUCUUCUCUUUUCCGUACCACCGCACCGAACAUUUUCCGCGCCGACACAUCUGUUUGACUAUGACGAUGGUUGGUACAACUUAUACUCUCUACUUUGAACACAAUCUUACUUUUCCAUCUAUAUAGUAAACCAUUCGGGGAAAACAUACAUACGAAUUUGAAUCUCCUUCAAGUUUGCUUCAGCUUUUUACCACCAAAAAUAAUACAUCAAACACCUUCAUAAAAUCUGGACCCCUUCUUUUUUAUUUCCUUCCAUUUUUCCACCCUCUCAAUUAAAGUACAUGAUAUCACAACAUAUCAUUUUUUUUUAAAGGGAUUUGGUAAAAUAUAUCUAAUAUUUCUAAGCUACACAUAAACACAAACACAUAGAGUGCACUGGAAAACAAUUCUGGUAAAAGAAAAAGUUCUCAAUUAAGCAUAGAAAUCAAAACCAAUAUAUUAAUUGAAAUCAAGCAUACAUACAAAUUGCCUUAAAAAAAAAAGUUGGUUUACAUUUACAAAUAGAUAUAUACUAAGGGGAGGAAUAAAAGCAACAGAAGCAUCGACAGCAGCGCCUGAAGCAGGUACAGUAAAGGUACCGUAAUGGGCCUCGACGAUUCGAGGAAGCCGAUGAUGAAUUCUGGUCAGCCGGUCGAUUUUCCAUCGGAGCACACCUAGUCCGUGUGUUUCUGCGUGAGAGAGUGGUGUGUUUUUUACACUCAGCUAAAAGUCGUUGAAACCAAGAAAACGCUUUUUAGUUUUUUC
This 1987-nucleotide long non-coding RNA is filed under the name Erythranthe guttata (spotted monkey flower). Its description in RNAcentral is "long non-coding RNA (EGUT_LNC003285)". Lineage: Eukaryota; Viridiplantae; Streptophyta; Magnoliopsida; Lamiales; Phrymaceae. The record is from RNAcentral.